RNAcentral lists this ribosomal RNA (465 nucleotides) under uncultured bacterium. Its description in RNAcentral is "partial 16S ribosomal RNA". It matches the Rfam family "Bacterial small subunit ribosomal RNA", at positions 28 to 507 of the family's 1533-position model. The record is from RNAcentral.
GACGAACGCUGGCGGCGUGCUUAACACAUGCAAGUCGAACGCAAAGGCCCUGCUUGCAGGGUACUCGAGUGGCGAACGGGUGAGUAACACGUGGGUGAUCUGCCCUGCACUUCGGGAUAAGCCUGGGAAACUGGGUCUAAUACCGGAUAGGAGCCAUUUUUAGUGUGAUGGUUGGAAAGUUUUUUCGGUGUAGGAUGAGCUCGCGGCCUAUCAGCUUGUUGGUGGGGUAAUGGCCUACCAAGGCGGCGACGGGUAGCCGGCCUGAGAGGGUGGACGGCCACAUUGGGACUGAGAUACGGCCCAGACUCCUACGGGAGGCAGCAGUGGGGAAUAUUGCACAAUGGGCGCAAGCCUGAUGCAGCGACGCCGCGUGGGGGAUGACGGCCUUCGGGUUGUAAACUCCUUUCGCUAGGGACGAAGCUUUUUGUGACGGUACCUAGAGAAGAAGCACCGGCUAACUACGUG